GGUCCAGACUCCUACGGGAGGCAGCAGUGGGGAAUUUUGGACAAUGGGGGCAACCCUGAUCCAGCCAUGCCGCGUGAGUGAAGAAGGCCUUCGGGUUGUAAAGCUCUUUCAGCCGGGAAGAAAAUGCAUGGGUUAAUACCCUGUGCAGAUGACGGUACCGGAAUAAGAAGCACCGGCUAACUACGUGCCAGCAGCCGCGAUAAUACGUAGGGUGCGAGCGUUAAUCGGAAUUACUGGGCGUAAAGCGUGCGCAGGCGGUUUUGUAAGACGGGCGUGAAAUCCCCGGGCUUAACCUGGGAACUGCGUUUGUGACUGCAAGGCUAGAGUACGGCAGAGGGGGGUGGAAUUCCACGUGUAGCAGUGAAAUGCGUAGAGAUGUGGAGGAACACCAAUGGCGAAGGCAGCCCCCUGGGUCGAUACUGACGCUCAUGCACGAAAGCGUGUAGCAAACAGGAUUAGAUACCCUGGUAGUCCACGCCCUAAACGAUGUCAACUAGGUGUUGGGAGGGUAAAACCUUUUAGUACCGUAGCUAACGCGAGAAGUUGACCGCCUGGGGAGUACGGCCGCAAGGUUAAAACUCAAAGGAAUUGACGGGGACCCGCACAAGCGGUGGAUGAUGUGGAUUAAUUCGAUGCAACGCGAAAAACCUUACCUACCCUUGACAUGUCAGGAACUUUCCAGAGAUGGAUUGGUGCCCGAAAGGGAACCUGAACACAGGUGCUGCAUGGCUGUCGUCAGCUCGUGUCGUGAGAUGUUGGGUUAAGUCCCGCAACGAGCGCAACCCUUGUCGUUAAUUGCCAUCAUUCAGUUGGGCACUUUAACGAGACUGCCGGUGACAAACCGGAGGAAGGUGGGGAUGACGUCAAGUCCUCAUGGCCCUUAUGGGUAGGGCUUCACACGUCAUACAAUGGUCGGUACAAAGGGUCGCCAACCCGCGAGGGGGAGCUAAUCCCAUAAAGCCGAUCGUAGUCCGGAUUGUAGGCUGCAACUCGCCUGCAUGAAGUCGGAAUCGCUAGUAAUCGUGGAUCAGCACGUCACGGUGAAUACGUUCCCGGGUCUUGUACACACCGCCCGUCACACCAUGGGAGCGGGUUCCGCCAGAAGUAGGUAGCCUAACCGCAAGGGGGGCGCUUACCACGGCGGGGUUCGUGACUGGGGUGAAGUCGAAACAAGGUAGCCGUAGAGGAACCUGCGGCUG
This 1199-nucleotide ribosomal RNA is filed under the name metagenome. RNAcentral describes it as "bacterial SSU rRNA". It matches the Rfam family "Bacterial small subunit ribosomal RNA", at positions 328 to 1520 of the family's 1533-position model. The record is from RNAcentral.